UACGUAGGGUGCAAGCGUUAAUCGGAAUUACUGGGCGUAAAGCGUGCGCAGGCGGUAAUGUAAGACAGAUGUGAAAUCCCCGGGCUCAACCUGGGAACUGCAUUUGUGACUGCAUUGCUGGAGUACGGCAGAGGGGGAUGGAAUUCCGCGUGUAGCAGUGAAAUGCGUAGAUAUGCGGAGGAACACCGAUGGCGAAGGCAAUCCCCUGGGCCUGUACUGACGCUCAUGCACGAAAGCGUGGGGAGCAAACAGG
This 253-nucleotide ribosomal RNA is filed under the name uncultured bacterium. RNAcentral describes it as "partial 16S ribosomal RNA". It matches the Rfam family "Bacterial small subunit ribosomal RNA", at positions 524 to 776 of the family's 1533-position model. The record is from RNAcentral.